CCCUUAGAUGUUCUGGGCUGCACGCGCGCUACAAUGGCGUUUUCAAAAAGAUUGCUAAUCCGAAAGGACCAGCGGAUCUUCGAAGUGACGUCGUGAUCGGGACAGUUGAUUGCAAUUAUUCGACUCGAACGAGGAAUUCCUUGUAAUCGUGCGUCAUCAGCGCACGCUGAAUACGUCCCUGUUCUUUGUACACACCGCCCGUCGCUCCUACCGAUCGAGCGAUCCAAUGAAUGUUUCGGAGCGGAACUGAGAUGCUAAUGCGUCUCUUUUACGCGAAUUUGUGUGAAUUUGAUCGCUUAGAGGAAGGAGAAGUCGUAACA
Molecule: ribosomal RNA, 320 nt
Filed under: uncultured eukaryote
Lineage: Eukaryota
Description: partial 18S ribosomal RNA
Rfam family: Eukaryotic small subunit ribosomal RNA
Source: RNAcentral